GAUGAACGCUGGCGGCGUGCCUAAUACAUGCAAGUCGAGCGAACAGACGAGGAGCUUACUCCUCUGACGUUAGCGGCGGACGGGUGAGUAACACGUGGAUAACCUACCUAUAAGACUGGGAUAACUUCGGGAAACCGGAGCUAAUACCGGAUAACAUGUUGAACCGCAUGGUUCAACAGUGAAAGACGGUCUUGCUGUCACUUAUAGAUGGGUCCGCGUCGCAUUAGCUAGUUGGUAAGGUAACGGCUUACCAAGGCAACGAUGCGUAGCCGACCUGAGAGGGUGAUCGGCCACACUGGAACUGAGACACGGUCCAGACUCCUAAGGGAGGCAGCAGUAGGGAAUCUUCCGCAAAGGGCGAAAGCCUGACGGAGCAACGCCGCGUGAGUGAAGAAGGUCUUCGGAUCGUAAAACUCUGUUAUUAUGGAAGAACAAAUGUGUAAGUAACUAUGCACGUCUUGACGGUACCUAAUCAGAAAGCCACGGCUAACUACGUG
RNAcentral lists this ribosomal RNA (497 nucleotides) under uncultured bacterium. RNAcentral describes it as "partial 16S ribosomal RNA". It matches the Rfam family "Bacterial small subunit ribosomal RNA", at positions 28 to 507 of the family's 1533-position model. The record is from RNAcentral.